Molecule: ribosomal RNA, 725 nt
Filed under: Schendylops pampeanus
Lineage: Eukaryota; Metazoa; Arthropoda; Chilopoda; Geophilomorpha; Schendylidae
Description: partial 28S ribosomal RNA
Rfam family: Eukaryotic large subunit ribosomal RNA (bases 490-725)
Source: RNAcentral
GAUCGGAAUCGAUUUCCGUGCAAGCGGUUUUUGUUUUUUUGNUCGGGGNUCAUAAAANCNUUUUGAUUGCCCNGUGGCCCANGNNANANCCUUUGGCGUUUUUAAAANGNUUANCGGCGANUUUUUNACCAAACNUUNGGANCCCCNGCCNCGCCACUNGCCNGGUNCCUUUGACACNGUUUUNGGNGGACGUUCCCCCUACCCUAAUGGGCGCUNUNACGUUUUUUUUUCUCGGGACUUUUUCGGAGGUUUCCGGGUUAGAAUCACACAAGGGAUGUUUCGCUCGGGGGUAAGCGUGCACGGGGGCACAAACACGUCCGAUUUCCGACGGCCCGGAGGCGCACCGCCGGCCCGCUUUAACCGCCCUCGGUGGUAACAAUAAAUUUUUCGCGUUUAGCGGCCCUUUUAUGACGUUUUCUUUGCUUGCCGUUUUUGUUCCCGUCUCUUUUCUCGUAUUGCUUCUGGAGGGGUUCCAGUUCGUCUGGGCCCCGAAAGUUCUUGCGGGUUUUUGGAUUGGUUCUUGGCGGUUGAGUUGUGUUCUCGUUUUGAGGGUGUCUGAGCGGCGCGGAAAGCCCGAAAGUCGGCGAGGCGGAGCAAGAGCACACACGUUGGGACCCGAAAGAUGGUGAACUAUGCCCGGGCAGGACGAAGCCAGAGGAAACUCUGGUGGAGGUCCGUAGCGAUUCUGACGUGCAAAUCGAUCGUCGAACCUGGGUAUAGGGGCG